UAGUUGGUAAAGCGCAACCUUGCCAAGGUUGAGACCGCGGGUUCGAGUCCCGUUGUCCGCU
This 61-nucleotide transfer RNA is filed under the name Bifidobacterium breve. RNAcentral describes it as "tRNA-Gly". It matches the Rfam family "tRNA", at positions 13 to 71 of the family's 71-position model. Rfam says of the family: Transfer RNA (tRNA) molecules are approximately 80 nucleotides in length. Their secondary structure includes four short double-helical elements and three loops (D, anti-codon, and T loops). The record is from RNAcentral. Lineage: Bacteria; Bacillati; Actinomycetota; Actinomycetes; Bifidobacteriales; Bifidobacteriaceae.